Molecule: ribosomal RNA, 406 nt
Filed under: uncultured bacterium
Lineage: Bacteria
Description: partial 16S ribosomal RNA
Rfam family: Bacterial small subunit ribosomal RNA
Source: RNAcentral
AUUGAACGCUGGCGGCAGGCCUAACACAUGCAAGUCGAACGAGUGGCGGACGGGUGAGUAAUGUCUGGGAAACUGCCCGAUGGAGGGGGAUAACUACCGGAAACGGUAGCUAAUACCGCAUCCCAUCGGAUGUGCCCAGGUGGGAUUAGAUUGUAGGUGGGGUAACGGCUCACCUAGGCGACGACCCCUAGCUGGUCUGAGAGGAUGACCAGCCACACUGGAACUGAAACACGGUCCAGACUCCUACGUGAGGCAGCAGUGGGGAAUAGUGCCCAGUGGGCGCAAGCCUGGUGCAGCCAUGCCGCGUGUCUGAAGAAGGCCUUCGGGUUGUAAAGUACGUUCAGCGAGGAGGCGUUACUCGCAGAAGAAGCACCGGCUAACUCCGUGCCAGCAGCCGCGGUAAUAC